This 597-nucleotide ribosomal RNA is filed under the name Mrakia robertii. Its description in RNAcentral is "eukaryotic LSU rRNA". It matches the Rfam family "Eukaryotic large subunit ribosomal RNA", at positions 38 to 617 of the family's 3401-position model. The record is from RNAcentral. Lineage: Eukaryota; Fungi; Basidiomycota; Tremellomycetes; Cystofilobasidiales; Mrakiaceae.
GCAUAUCAAUAAGCGGAGGAAAAGAAACUAACAAGGAUUCCCCUAGUAACGGCGAGUGAAGCGGGAUGAGCUCAAAUUUAAAAUCUGGCGGCCUCAGGUCGUCCGAGUUGUAGUCUAGAGAAUCGUUUUCCGCGUUGGCCUGUGUACAAGUCCCUUGGAACAGGGCGUCAUAGAGGGUGAGAAUCCCGUCCUUGACACAGACUACCAAUGCUUUGUGAUGCGAUCUCGAAGAGUCGAGUUGUUUGGGAAUGCAGCUCAAAAUGGGUGGUAAAUUCCAUCUAAAGCUAAAUAUUGGCGAGAGACCGAUAGCGAACAAGUACCGUGAGGGAAAGAUGAAAAGCACUUUGGAAAGAGAGUUAAACAGUACGUGAAAUUGUUAAAAGGGAAACGAUUGAAGUCAGUCAUGCUUUCCGAGACUCAGCCGAUUCUGUCGGUGUACUUCUCGGUUGGCAGGCCAGCAUCAGUUUCGAUCUGUGGAAAAGGUUGGAGGGAACGUGGCAUCCUCGGAUGUGUUAUAGCCCUUCUUCGAAUACAUAGAGCGGGACUGAGGAACGCAGCGCGCCUUUUAUUAGGUUGGCCCUCGGGUACAUACGCGCU